CGGGUGAUAACACGUGGGUAACCUGCCUGUAAGACCGGGAUAACUCCGGGAAACCGGGGCUAAUACCGGAUGGUUGUUUGAACCGCAUGGUUCAAACAUAAAAGGUGGCUUCGGCUACCACUUACAGAUGGACCCGCGGCGCAUAAGCUAGUUGGUGAGGUAACGGCUCACCAAGGCAACGAUGCGUAGCACGACCUGAGAGGGUGAUCGGCCACACUGGGACUGACCACCCGGCCCAAACUCCUACGGGAGGCAGCAGUAGGGAAUCUUCCGCAAAUGGAACCGAUACACAGCUCUUGAACAGUGAAAGCAAAACUCGGCCCAGUCAGCGAUAGAAUGUUUUGAAAAUUGAAAAAUGUGGUUUUUAUCACAGGGUAACUCCGUCAUAUNAUAUAUCGUCAUUCAAUGUUCUGGAUUUAAUGAUGGGGGUAAAAAGUAAAUCAUAUAAUCUUAUUAAUCCCCGGUUAUNCCAUAAAACUCUUUUCUGUGGUUACGGUNNGUUUCCCCUUAUGUAUCCCGUGGUCUCUACACAUUU
Molecule: ribosomal RNA, 535 nt
Filed under: bacterium NTN22
Lineage: Bacteria
Description: partial 16S ribosomal RNA
Rfam family: Bacterial small subunit ribosomal RNA (bases 1-283)
Source: RNAcentral